This 488-nucleotide ribosomal RNA is filed under the name uncultured bacterium. RNAcentral's name for it is "bacterial SSU rRNA". It matches the Rfam family "Bacterial small subunit ribosomal RNA", at positions 30 to 502 of the family's 1533-position model. The record is from RNAcentral.
AUUGAACGCUGGCGGCAUGCCUUACACAUGCAAGUCGAACGGCAGCAUGGAAGAGCUUGCUCUUCUGAUGGCGAGUGGCGAACGGGUGAGUAAAGCAUCGGAACGUACCGUGUAGUGGGGGAUAACGUAGCGAAAGUUACGCUAAUACCGCAUACGCACUGAGGUGGAAAGCAGGGGAUCGCAAGACCUUGCGCUAUACGAGCGGCCGAUGUCAGAUUAGCUAGUUGGUAGGGUAAAGGCCUACCAAGGCGACGAUCUGUAGCUGGUCUGAGAGGACGACCAGCCACACUGGGACUGAGACACGGCCCAGACUCCUACGGGAGGCAGCAGUGGGGAAUUUUGGACAAUGGGCGAAAGCCUGAUCCAGCCAUGCCGCGUGCAGGAUGAAGGCCUGGUUGUAAACUGCUUUGUCUAGGAGAAAGUCUUCUUGGGCGUAAUACCCCGGGAAGGACGUGUACGGUACCUGAAGAAUAAGACACCGGCUAACU